Long non-coding RNA from Malaclemys terrapin pileata, 696 nucleotides. RefSeq lists it as uncharacterized. The transcript has 4 exons. Lineage: Eukaryota; Metazoa; Chordata; Testudines; Emydidae. The record is from RefSeq and is a predicted model, not a curated record.
GAGGUCUCGUUGAACAUAAACGGAGGAGAAAUAUUUGCAGCUCACUGGGGCUGGAUUCUCACUGCUGCUGCAGGCUUAAAAUGUUUUUCCUUUGCACAAACCAGCACUAGGAGAGUGCCUGUAAAUUUUACCACAGCAUUUCUCUCUCUCCCCCACCCCUGUAAUUCUUGGGAUUUUAUACACGGUCGGUGGAUUGGAGGGAACAGCUAAGUAACUGCAGAAUUUGGCCCUCUCCCUGCAAGUAUCUUCAAAAUGCCCACAGCCAAGCUAUGAUGUCAUGCCUGGAAAAAGUGAACACAUCACAGCCCAAUCUUGGACACGUUUGUUGUUGCAACCCCAUUCUGGUUAUACGGUAGCACCUCAGAGUUACGAGCUGACCGGUCAACCACACACCUCGUUUGGAACUGGAAGUACGCAAUCAGGCAGCAGCAGAGACAAAAAAAAAAAAGCACAAAUACAGUUUCCUGCUGCCGUAAUUGGCUACCCUACUGCAGUCAUUGGUGGCCCUUGAUGACAAAAUCUGGUUCCUGGGUGUGUGUCCUUGGACUAUAAUCACUCUGAAGGAAGAGGGAGAAGUCAGCACCCCAACAAAAACCCAGACAGCCUCUUCAGGUGUCAAUCAGGACCAACUCGAAUGACGUGAGCAGACUUACAAUGCUGUAAGCCCGGUGUGCGUUAGGGGAGGAUUGGACCCCA